RNAcentral lists this ribosomal RNA (383 nucleotides) under uncultured bacterium. RNAcentral describes it as "bacterial SSU rRNA". It matches the Rfam family "Bacterial small subunit ribosomal RNA", at positions 29 to 414 of the family's 1533-position model. The record is from RNAcentral.
AUUAAACGCUGGCGGCAUGCCUUACACAUGCAAGUCGAACGGUAGCGCGGGGCAACCUGGCGACGAGUGGCGAACGGGUGAGUAAAGCAUCGGAACGUGCCCUGGAAUGGGGGAUAACGUAGCGAAAGUUACGCUAAUACCGCAUAUUCUGUGAGCAGGAAAGCAGGGGAUCGCAAGACCUUGCGUUCUGGGAGCGGCCGAUGUCGGAUUAGCUAGUUGGUGGGGUAAAAGCCUACCAAGGCGACGAUCCGUAGCGGGUCUGAGAGGAUGAUCCGCCACACUGGGGACUGAGACACGGCCCAGACUCCUACGGGAGGCAGCAGUGGGGAAUUUUGGACAAUGGGCGGAAGCCUGAUCCAGCCAUGCCGCGUGAGUGAAGAAGG